RNAcentral lists this ribosomal RNA (685 nucleotides) under uncultured Bacteroidales bacterium. Its description in RNAcentral is "bacterial SSU rRNA". It matches the Rfam family "Bacterial small subunit ribosomal RNA", at positions 45 to 718 of the family's 1533-position model. The record is from RNAcentral. Lineage: Bacteria; Pseudomonadati; Bacteroidota; Bacteroidia; Bacteroidales.
GGCUUAACACAUGCAAGUCGAGGGGCAGCAUUUUAGUUUGCUUGCAAACUGAAGAUGGCGACCGGCGCACGGGUGAGUAACACGUAUCCAACCUGCCGAUAACUCCGGGAUAGCCUUUCGAAAGAAAGAUUAGUACCGGAUGGCAUACGAAUAUCGCAUGAUAUUUUUAUUAAAGAAUUUCGGUUAUCGAUGGGGAUGCGUUCCAUUAGUUUGUUGGCGGGGUAACGGCCCACCAAGACUACGAUGGAUAGGGGUUCUGAGAGGAAGGUCCCCCACAUUGGAACUGAGACACGGUCCAAACUCCUACGGGAGGCAGCAGUGAGGAAUAUUGGUCAAUGGGCGAGAGCCUGAACCAGCCAAGUAGCGUGAAGGAUGAAGGCUCUAUGGGUCGUAAACUUCUUUUAUAUGGGAAUAAAGUUUUCUACGUGUGGAAUUUUGUAUGUACCAUAUGAAUAAGGAUCGGCUAACUCCGUGCCAGCAGCCGCGGUAAUACGGAGGAUCCGAGCGUUAUCCGGAUUUAUUGGGUUUAAAGGGAGCGUAGGUGGAUUGUUAAGUCAGUUGUGAAAGUUUGCGGCUCAACCGUAAAAUUGCAGUUGAAACUGGCAGUCUUGAGUACAGUAGAGGUGGGCGGAAUUCGUGGUGUAGCGGUGAAAUGCUUAGAUAUCACGAAGAACUCCGAUUGCGA